AUUGAACGCUGGCGGCAGGCCUAACACAUGCAAGUCGAGCGGAGCGGCGGCCGGGUGAGUAAUGCCUAGGAAUCUGCCUGGUAGUGGGGGAUAACGUCCGGAAACGGGCGCUAAUACCGCAUACUCUCAGAUGAGCCUAGGUCGGAUUAGCCAGUUGGGGGGGAAGAGGCCGACAAAGGCGACGAACCGUAACUGGUCUGAGGGGAUGAUCAGUCACACUGGAACUUAGACACGGUCCAGACUCCUACGGUAGGCAGCAGUGGGGAAUAUUGGACAAUGGGCGAAAGCCUGAUCCAGCCAUGCCGCGUGUGUGAAGAAGGUCUUCGGGUUGUAAAGUUCUUUCGGUGACGAGGCGUUACUCACAGAAGAAGCACCGGCUAACUACGUGCCAGCCGCCGCGGUAAUUC
Molecule: ribosomal RNA, 407 nt
Filed under: uncultured bacterium
Lineage: Bacteria
Description: partial 16S ribosomal RNA
Rfam family: Bacterial small subunit ribosomal RNA
Source: RNAcentral